AUUUGGUCAAGAUUGAACAAGAAACAGACAGCAAGGGUUGUCAGAUCAGAAACAGAAUGCCACACAAACACAAGAAACUUCACAGGCAGAUCAACAUGCAAUUUGAAGACGUGUGAUAAAAUACAGAGAGGUGAAGUAGUGUGUCUUUCCAGAUCCCCAAAUCAUUCCCCCUUAAAAGAUGAGCCUGAAGAGGAGAUUUGGGAAGAUGCUGUUUCAUAAGUCGCUUUGCCAGAUCACCUGUGAUGCUGUCAUCGUAUUAAGUACAGCAUGAGCCAGAAUAGAUGGGUGGUGGUGGCCAUAAGAAGACUGUCAACUAAACCAACAACAAAAUUCAUAUUUGCAGUUUUUCUUGAAUAAAGUUUUUCUAUUCAGAUUAAUAAAAUGACUUUUAA
Paramisgurnus dabryanus is the source of this 392-nucleotide non-coding RNA. Lineage: Eukaryota; Metazoa; Chordata; Actinopteri; Cypriniformes; Cobitidae. The record is from RefSeq and is a predicted model, not a curated record.